Sceloporus undulatus (fence lizard) is the source of this 2758-nucleotide long non-coding RNA. RefSeq lists it as uncharacterized. NCBI's taxonomy places the organism in Eukaryota, Metazoa, Chordata, Lepidosauria, Squamata, Phrynosomatidae. The transcript is spliced from 5 exons. The record is from RefSeq and is a predicted model, not a curated record.
UUCCCGCGUGGCUAAAAGGCCCCCAAGGAGGGCUGUCCUUCCAGUUGCCUGAGUCGCCGUCCCCAGGUGCUGGGGCAACAAGAGUUAACAUUGUUGUAGCCCCCCUACAACUCCCAGCAGGCCAGAUUUGGGGGGAUUCUGGGAGUCAUAGUCCCAGACAAAGGGCACCUACGUUGAGGAAAGUAUGUCAGCAGCGGAGAGCCCGGAAGCUAAUAGGCAGCCAGUGGAGAGAUCUUAAUACCGGAGUUAUAUGAUCUGAUCUAGAAGUUCCGGCGACCAAUCUGGCUGCAGCGUUUUGAACUAACUGAAGCUUCUGAACCUGGUACAAAGGCCCUUUUGGACCAAGUCGUCUACCACGUCCGGGCGCUGGUGGUCCUGCCCACAAGGAACUGGCCCAGCAGAAGAAAGGAGCCAAGACUAAUUGGGUCUUCUUGGCCAGGCUUCAAUGAAAAGGAUACACCGUCUCCUUCACAGAGCUCCUUCCUUACACUUGGUUCCCAUGAAAGUCUACUAAGGACCAAAAUUCCAUGUUCCCAGUAUAUAUCCAAGCUUUAGCUAUCCGGUAUCUGCAAGUGGCAGUUUUACAAAGAGGUUGAACUGAUCCUGGUCCCAUUAUCGAAAGACAGUCUCUAGGUAGCAUGUUGUGACUUAAUCCAACGGUGGAUGAUGUCCCAUUAAGAUAGCCUGGUUUGUAAACUACCGACAGGAGGCAACCCUGCAACCAUCUGCAGAAAAGAUGAACAGAGUCCCAGGGAGGAGUUAUUCAUGCUUUUACAGAAUUGCUUUCUCCUGCCAAAGACGAAAGAAAUCUUCUCAAUGCCAUUAGGAAAGAUCAUGGUGAUCAACAGGGUACCUUCUUAGGGUAGAAGACAUCUGUUUGGUUGUUAAAAAUCGCUGCUCAACUUUGGCUAAAAGAAAAAAAAACAUAAAGAGUAGUAAAACCCAGGUGUGCACGUGUGUGUAUGUGCACAUGUUUUUUGUCUGCUUGCUCCUCUAAACAUCCCCACAAGCACAGUGUUCAUCGUCCGCUCUUGCUUAAAAAGAGUUCCAGAAGGAGUACUUCCAUACGCUCCCUUUCUUGCCGGUGGGCAAAAUCCAAAUUUUCUCAGCCAUUUCAUAUUACGAAGGAGGACUUGUGCCUAAAGUCACCCUGGAAUGGAGACAAAGAAAAAUAUGGUUCAGAAUACAUACAUACAUACAUACAUACAUAUUCAUGACUCACAACUGUUUGAACCAAGCUGAACUGGGUUGUUGUUGGGGGUUUUUUGGCCAAAAUCCUGUCUGUACCUUUUCUGGAAUAACCAAUGCAGCAUACUGGUUUGAACGCUGGACUAGGAUUCUGGAGACCCGGGUUCAAUUUUCUGUUUGGACAUGAAACUUGCUAGGUGAUCUUGGGGAGGUCACAUGCUCUCAGCCUCAGGGAACAGCACUGGCAACUGAACAAAUCUUGCCAAGAAAACACCAUGAUAGGUUUGCCUGAGUUGGAAACAACUUGGAAGCACACAACAACAAAUCUGUUCCUGGCACAACAAUCUGUGUAAGGUAGUUUUUUGGAGCAGUGUGUAGCAAUGGGGUGGGAGUUGCAAAGAAACCUGUAUGUUUAUCAGAGAAGUUUUCCGUGAUCAGAACACCUUUCUCUCCUGACAGAGAUGGCUUUUGCUGUCAUCCCAGUUUUGGUGUCGCUCUCACAGACUUGUUAUUUUGGCUCUUAUGCUGCUGCCUACACCACCAUCAAUCCCAGUGUAAUUGCAGCAGCCAACAUGAUCAUAGCCCCUCUCUCUUCCAGAACUACACUUAUAUUGCAAACUAGAGCUGCUCCGCAUGAGGCAAAGAGGCUUAAAUACUGCCUGUGUCUAGCAAGCUUUAAUAAUGCCUUGCAUUUUACAAAUUGCCUGGCCACUACUGGCAAUCAGAAAUUCCCUGCAGAUGAACAAGCAGAUUGAACCAGGAGGAGGGAUGCAGUACUUUAUUCCUCCUCCCUGACCAGCCUCACUUAAUUUCUAUACUGGCUGCUAAGGAAGGACAACAAUCUUUUCUCUUUUAAAAGGGGUGGGUUUGCUAAGUGACAUUUGUGCAAAGGGUAAACUCAAGUAUGCAGCAACAUUGCACAGGCAUAAAUUUUCACUGCAUUAAAAGUAUACAGGAUUUUCGCCUUAAAAUGUAAUAUUUGUGAUAAUGUGUUAUUGUUGUGUGCCUCCCAAGUCAUUUCCAAUUUAUGACAAACCUAAGGUGAAUCUAUCAUAGGGUUUUCCUGUGAGGCUGAGAGAGUGUGACUUGUCCAAGGUCACCCAGUGGAUUCCCAUGGUCAAGCUGGGCUGGCUGACCUGUUCUCCAGAGUCAUAGUCUAAUGCUCAAACCACUACAUCACGCUGCACGAAUGCUCAAGUCCCAUUACAGUAUAGUAAAAUGGCAUCCCUUGUAUAAAACAGCAAAAUCAAUGUUUACUGUGUGUGUGUGUGUGUGUGUGUGUGUGUGUGUGUGUGUUUGAAUAUUUUCAGACUGUGAUGGGUUGAAUUUGUGAACGCAGAAUCGGUGGAUAUGGAGCGCUGACUGUUUGCUAUGACAAGGGACUUACACCCAACACAUUUGUGUUUUUUUACAUUUCCAUUGUGGUUUGCACUAAAAUACUUUCAUGAUACUGUUUUGGUACUGUACUUUGAAUGUGACUUUGCUGCGUUUUCACUGAUAUUACAUUUAAGCAUUCAGAUUUUUUUGUUAUUUUAUAUUAUUAAAUUUGCAAUUUUGCAAUUCCCCUCUC